CUUGUAUCUUGCCCUCCCCAUACUGACACCCUGCUGUCCCAGAGAGGCUCUUCUCAUGGGCACAGAGUGACAGAUUGCCUUCCCACCCUGCCUGGAGGAGCCAGCGGCCCGUGGCAGCAACAUGGCGGUGUAACAUAGGACACCAGCUAUCGGUCAACAGGGGGCUCCCUCCCAGGUGGGGCCCUGCAGGCCCUAGGCCAGGCCUCACUUUAACGAUUGCCAGCCCUGACUCCUGCUUCCCUCAGAACACCUUGUGGGAGGGAGGGAAAGUUGUCCUGGUCACCUGGUGGAGAAGGAUGCAGAGGGACUAAGUAGCUGUCACAAGCUGGCACAGAAAUUAAGUAAGAACACUUCUGGAUAAACAGAAGAAACAGUACAUAGCAAUAAUUGCCUUUCCAGUUUUACUAUUUGAGCCACUACUUUUGUAGCCUACCUGAAGAUGAAGAGCUUGGAGGCUUUCAGGGAGUGGCAAGGGAAUAUGAUCCAAGUUAUUGUCAGUGAUGUAAAGAUGCUGCAGUUCAUUCAGAUCCUAGAGGAUGAAGGAAAAAGGUAAAUAAUAUUCUCCCUUGACUUAGUGGAUGAACAAGUGGCAGGCACCAUAGCUAGGCUGCUCACAAUCAUCUUUGAAAGGUCUUUGAAAGGAGAGGUGCCUGAGGACUGGAGGUAAGCCAGUGCUACCCUCAUCUUCAAAAAGGGCAAGAGGGAGAAUCCGGAGAAUUACCAGCCAAUCAGCCUCAAGCCCUGGAGAGGUGAUGGACUACCUCAUUCUAGAGGCCAUCUCUAACCAAGUUGAUGACAAGAAGGUGAUCAGGAGUAGUCAGCAUGGAUUCCCUAAAGGUAAAUCAUGCUUAACCAAUCUGAUUGCCUUCUAAAAUGAAACAACUACCAGGAUAGAUGAGGGGAGAGCAUUGGGUAAUGUAUACCUUGACUUCAGUAAGGAUUUCGACAUUGUCUCUCACAACAUACUCAUAGGCAAACUUAGGAAGUAUGGACUGGAUGAACAGAUAGGGAGGUGGAUUGAUAACUGACUGAAUGGCAGAUCUCAAAGAGUCGUAAUCAAUAGCAUAGGGUCUAGUGGAAGGCCUGUCUAACUUAUUCAUCAGUGACUUGGACAGAGGAGCAGAUGCCUUCUCAGCAAGUUCAUUGACAACAAAAAUCUGGAAAGCGUGACCAUCACCCCAGAGUGCUGUGCAGUCAUUCAGAAGGACCUCAACAGGCUGGAGAGAUGGGUAGAGAGGAAUCACUUGAAAUUCAGCAAAGGCAAGUGCAGGGUCCUGUACGUGGCAAAGAAUAACCCCAAACACCAGCACAGGCUGGGGGACAACUUACUGG
Chiroxiphia lanceolata (lance-tailed manakin) is the source of this 1332-nucleotide long non-coding RNA. RefSeq lists it as uncharacterized. The record is from RefSeq and is a predicted model, not a curated record. Lineage: Eukaryota; Metazoa; Chordata; Aves; Passeriformes; Pipridae. The transcript has 3 exons.